GCCCUGCAUGAAGUCGGAAUCGCUAGUAAUCGCGAGUCAGCAUAUCGCGGUGAAUACGUUCCCGGGUCUUGUACACACCGCCCGUCACACCAUGGGAGUCGGGAAUGCCCGAAGCCGGUGGCCCGAUCGAAAGAAGGGAGCCGUCGAAGGCAGGCCGGAUGACUGGGGUGAAGUCGUAACAAGGUAAC
RNAcentral lists this ribosomal RNA (188 nucleotides) under uncultured bacterium. RNAcentral's name for it is "partial 16S ribosomal RNA". It matches the Rfam family "Bacterial small subunit ribosomal RNA", at positions 1313 to 1500 of the family's 1533-position model. The record is from RNAcentral.